This 856-nucleotide ribosomal RNA is filed under the name marine metagenome. RNAcentral describes it as "bacterial SSU rRNA". It matches the Rfam family "Bacterial small subunit ribosomal RNA", at positions 227 to 1075 of the family's 1533-position model. The record is from RNAcentral.
GUGCCUGCGUGAGAUUAGCUAGUUGGUGAGGUAAGAGCUCACCAAGGCGACGAUCUCUAGCUGGUCUGAGAGGAUGAUCAGCCACACUGGGACUGAGACACGGCCCAGACUCCUACGGGAGGCAGCAGUGGGGAAUAUUGGACAAUGGGGGCAACCCUGAUCCAGCCAUGCCGCGUGUGUGAAGAAGGCCUUCGGGUUGUAAAGCACUUUCAGUUGUGAGGAAAGGUUGGUAGUUAAUACCUGCCAGCUGUGACGUUAACAACAGAAGAAGCACCGGCUAACUCCGUGCCAGCAGCCGCGGUAAUACGGAGGGUGCGAGCGUUAAUCGGAAUUACUGGGCGUAAAGCGCACGCAGGCGGUUUGUUAAGCUAGAUGUGAAAGCCCCGGGCUCAACCUGGGAUGGUCAUUUAGAACUGGCAGACUAGAGUCUUGGAGAGGGGAGUGGAAUUCCAGGUGUAGCGGUGAAAUGCGUAGAUAUCUGGAGGAACAUCAGUGGCGAAGGCGACUCCCUGGCCAAAGACUGACGCUCAUGUGCGAAAGUGUGGGUAGCGAACAGGAUUAGAUACCCUGGUAGUCCACACCGUAAACGCUGUCUACUAGCUGUGUGUGCCUUUAAGGCGUGCGUAGCGAAGCUAACGCGCUAAGUAGACCGCCUGGGGAGUACGGCCGCAAGGUUAAAACUCAAAUGAAUUGACGGGGGCCCGCACAAGCGGUGGAGCAUGUGGUUUAAUUCGAUGCAACGCGAAGAACCUUACCAUCCCUUGACAUCCAGAGAAUUUUCUAGAGAUAGAAUUGUGCCUUCGGGAGCUCUGAGACAGGUGCUGAAGGGCUGUCGUCAGCUCGUGUUGGGAAAUGU